This 461-nucleotide ribosomal RNA is filed under the name uncultured bacterium. RNAcentral's name for it is "SSU rRNA". It matches the Rfam family "Bacterial small subunit ribosomal RNA", at positions 26 to 518 of the family's 1533-position model. The record is from RNAcentral.
AGAAUCAACGCUGGCGGCGUGCCUAACACAUGCAAGUCGAACGAGAAAGUGGAGCAAUCCAUGAGUACAGUGGCGCACGGGUGAGUAACACGUGACUAACCUACCCUCGAGUGGGGAAUAACCUCGGGAAACCGGGGCUAAUACCGCAUAACAUCCACGGAUCAAAUGCGUAAGCAGCUUGAGGAGGGGGUCGCGGCUGAUUAGCUAGUUGGCGGGGUAAUGGCCCACCAAGGCAGUGAUCAGUAGCCGGCCUGAGAGGGCGCACGGCCACACUGGAACUGAAACACGGUCCAGACUCCUACGGGAGGCAGCAGUGGGGAAUUUUGCGCAAUGGGGGAAACCCUGACGCAGCAACGCCGCGUGGAGGAUUAAGGCCCCUUGGGGUGUAAACUCCUUUCGAUCGGGACGAUUAUGACGGUACCGGAAGAAGAAGCACCGGCUAACUCUGCGCCAGCAGCCGC